RNAcentral lists this ribosomal RNA (1343 nucleotides) under uncultured bacterium. Its description in RNAcentral is "16S ribosomal RNA". It matches the Rfam family "Bacterial small subunit ribosomal RNA", at positions 28 to 1378 of the family's 1533-position model. The record is from RNAcentral.
GACGAACGCUGGCGGCGUGCUUAACACAUGCAAGUCGAACGGAAAGGCCCUGCUUUUGUGGGGUGCUCGAGUGGCGAACGGGUGAGUAACACGUGAGUAACCUGCCCUUGACUUUGGGAUAACUUCAGGAAACUGGGGCUAAUACCGGAUAGGAGCUCCUGCUGCAUGGUGGGGGUUGGAAAGUUUCGGCGGUUGGGGAUGGACUCGCGGCUUAUCAGCUUGUUGGUGGGGUAGUGGCUUACCAAGGCUUUGACGGGUAGCCGGCCUGAGAGGGUGACCGGCCACAUUGGGACUGAGAUACGGCCCAGACUCCUACGGGAGGCAGCAGUGGGGAAUAUUGCACAAUGGGCGGAAGCCUGAUGCAGCAACGCCGCGUGCGGGAUGACGGCCUUCGGGUUGUAAACCGCUUUCGCCUGUGACGAAGCGUGAGUGACGGUAAUGGGUAAAGAAGCACCGGCUAACUACGUGCCAGCAGCCGCGGUGAUACGUAGGGUGCGAGCGUUGUCCGGAUUUAUUGGGCGUACAGGGCUCGUAGGUGGUUGAUCGCGUCGGAAGUGUAAUCUUGGGGCUUAACCCUGAGCGUGCUUUCGAUACGGGUUGACUUGAGGAAGGUAGGGGAGAAUGGAAUUCCUGGUGGAGCGGUGGAAUGCGCAGAUAUCAGGAGGAACACCAGUGGCGAAGGCGGUUCUCUGGGCCUUUCCUGACGCUGAGGAGCGAAAGCGUGGGGAGCGAACAGGCUUAGAUACCCUGGUAGUCCACGCUGUAAACGGUGGGUACUAGGUGUGGGGUCCAUUCCACGGGUUCCGUGCCGUAGCUAACGCUUUAAGUACCCCGCCUGGGGAGUACGGCCGCAAGGCUAAAACUCAAAGGAAUUGACGGGGCCCCGCACAAGCGGCGGAGCAUGUGGAUUAAUUCGAUGCAACGCGUAGAACCUUACCUGGGUUUGACAUGGAUCGGGAGCGCUCAGAGAUGGGUGUGCCUCUUUUGGGGUCGGUUCACAGGUGGUGCAUGGCUGUCGUCAGCUCGUGUCGUGAGAUGUUGGGUUAAGUCCCGCAACGAGCGCAACCCUUGUUCACUGUUGCCAGCACGUUAUGGUGGGGACUCAGUGGAGACCGCCGGGGUCAACUCGGAGGAGGGUGGGGAUGACGUCAAGUCAUCAUGCCCCUUAUGUCCAGGGCUUCACGCAUGCUACAAUGGCUGGUACAGAGAGUGGCGAGCCUGUGAGGGUGAGCGAAUCUCGGAAAGCCGGUCUCAGUUCGGAUUGGGGUCUGCAACUCGACCUCAUGAAGUCGGAGUCGCUAGUAAUCGCAGAUCAGCAACGCUGCGGUGAAUACGUUCCCGGG